Molecule: unclassified non-coding RNA, 220 nt
Filed under: plant metagenome
Description: partial contains small subunit ribosomal RNA, internal transcribed spacer 1, and 5.8S ribosomal RNA
Source: RNAcentral
UCUCCGUUGGCGAACCAGCGGAGGGAUCAUUAUAGAGUGUUACAACUCCCUAAACCACCGUGAACAUACCUAUGUUGCUUCGGCGGGAUCGCCCCGUGGCCCCCGUGGCCCGGAAUCAGGCGCCCGCCGGAGGUCCUAAACUCUAGUUUUCAAUUUGUCUUCUGAGUGGCGCACGCAAAUAAAUAAAUCAAAACUUUCAACAACGGAUCUCUUGGUUCUG